GUGACCUGCGGAAGGAUCAUUAAUGAAUUUUAUGGCGGAAUUGUAGCUGGCCCCAACCGGGCAUGUGCACAUUCUGUUCAUUCCAUUCUCAUACACCUCUGUGCACUUUACAUAGGUUUGGUAUAGAAAAGGUCUUUAUUGACUUUGGAAAUACUGACCUAUGCUUUUAUAAACGCUUCAGUUUUAGAAUGUCAUCCGCGUAUAACGCAAUAAAUACAACUUUCAGCAACGGAUCUCUUGGCUCUCGCAUCGAUGAAGAACGCAGCGAAAUGCGAUAAGUAAUGUGAAUUGCAGAAUUCAGUGAAUCAUCGAAUCUUUGAACGCAUCUUGCGCCCUUUGGUAUUCCGAAGGGCAUGCCUGUUUGAGUGUCAUGGUAUUCUCAAUACCCCAAAUCUUUGCGGAUAAGGGUGUGUUGGACUUGGAGGUUUUUGCAGGUAAUGAUUGUAUUACCAGCUCCUCUUAAAUGCAUUAGCAGAGAUAAUACUGCUACUCUCCAGUGUGAUAAUUGUCUACACUGUUAGUAGUGCGGUAUAACAAAAUGUCUAUGCUUCUAAUCGUCUUCGGACAACUUUUGACAAUCUGACCUCAAAUCAGGUAGGACUACCCGCUGAACUUAAGCAUAUCAAUAAGCGGAGGAAAAGAAACUAACAAGGAUUCCCCUAGUAACUGCGAGUGAAGCGGGAAA
RNAcentral lists this ribosomal RNA (685 nucleotides) under fungal endophyte. RNAcentral's name for it is "eukaryotic LSU rRNA". The stretch from base 218 to 371 matches the Rfam family "5.8S ribosomal RNA". Lineage: Eukaryota; Fungi. The record is from RNAcentral.